Molecule: non-coding RNA, 46 nt
Filed under: Trichobilharzia regenti
Lineage: Eukaryota; Metazoa; Platyhelminthes; Trematoda; Strigeidida; Schistosomatidae
Source: RNAcentral
GUACUGAUGAAGAGUCCCAAACUAGGACGGAACAGCUGUUCUGUAC